ACGCUUCCGGGCGCCACCUCCGGUGCAAGUCCCCCUGACUGGGGCUCCUACCCCGAGAGGGUGCAAGGCCCGUAGCGGCCGGAAGGUGGUCCCGGAUGUCCUCUCCUGGGAGUCGGGUUGCUUGAGAGUGCAGCCCUAAUCAGGUGGUAAACUCCAUCUAAGGCUAAAUACGACCUCGAGACCGAUAGCGAACAAGUACCGUGAGGGAAAGUUGAAAAGGACUUUGAAGAGAGAGUUCAAGAGUACGUGAAACCGUUUGGAGGAAAACGAGUGGGCCCUCGAAUGAAGGAGGCGGGGGGACUCAGGCGAGAGAUGGGGUCUGUCGGUGCUGUCUCGCUUCCCAAACAGGACCUGACGUAUCGAUUUAUGACUUUAGCUUUCGCCGCAUUUCUUCUCGCCCUCUGACGCUGCGACCGGUCGGGUGCGCCACAAGCAGUCGGCCUUACUCGCGGAGACUGGCAGGUAGCCGGGGCAGUGCUUCGGCUCUGUUCCGGUGUUUAGCCGCUCCGCAAUCACGGCCGUUCACCCGACCGCAGGACAUGGCUCUUUGGGGCCGAUUCGUGCCUUCCCCUCGUGGGAGCGCUGGGUUGUCGGCAGGGAUGUCGCCGUUCUCGCCGGUUCACCGUAAGGUGGCCGGUGUGCGGUGGCGCCUGGUGGCCGGCGGUCUUUCGUGCGGGCGCAGAUGGUCAGCAGCGAGUAGGUCGGUCACCCACUCGACCCGUCUUGAAACACGGACCAAGGAGUUUAACAUGUACGCGAGUCAUUGGGUCUUGCAUAGGCCCAAAGGCGCAAUGAAAGUGAAGGUCGGCUCUCGCCGUCCGCGUUGGGAUUCGGGGCCUUAUGCUUCGGCGCACCAACGGCUCGUCCACGUCGCAACGUCGACCGGGCGAAGCUAGAGCGUACACGUUGAGACCCGAAAGAUGGUGAACUAUGGCUGGGCAGGACGAAGCC
Molecule: ribosomal RNA, 951 nt
Filed under: Triaenonychoides cekalovici
Lineage: Eukaryota; Metazoa; Arthropoda; Arachnida; Opiliones; Triaenonychidae
Description: eukaryotic LSU rRNA
Rfam family: Eukaryotic large subunit ribosomal RNA
Source: RNAcentral